RNAcentral lists this transfer RNA (73 nucleotides) under Camelus ferus (Wild Bactrian camel). It matches the Rfam family "tRNA". From Rfam's summary of the family: Transfer RNA (tRNA) molecules are approximately 80 nucleotides in length. Their secondary structure includes four short double-helical elements and three loops (D, anti-codon, and T loops). Lineage: Eukaryota; Metazoa; Chordata; Mammalia; Artiodactyla; Camelidae. The record is from Rfam by way of RNAcentral.
GAGGGUGUAGCUCAAGUGGCAGAGCGCAUGCUUAGCGUGCAUGAGGUCCUGGGUUUGAUCCCUAGUAUCUCCU